UACUGAUUUGGUCAAAGUUCUUUCUGUCU
RNAcentral lists this non-coding RNA (29 nucleotides) under Rattus norvegicus (Norway rat). The record is from RNAcentral. Lineage: Eukaryota; Metazoa; Chordata; Mammalia; Rodentia; Muridae.